RNAcentral lists this long non-coding RNA (312 nucleotides) under Calidris pugnax (ruff). Its description in RNAcentral is "lncRNA (ENSCPUG00000012639.1)". Lineage: Eukaryota; Metazoa; Chordata; Aves; Charadriiformes; Scolopacidae. The record is from RNAcentral.
AUGAGAAGCCGCUGCACAGCAACAACAGACACGGUCUGUGCCCCCUGCCAAGAUGAGUACUUUAAUAGUGAGCACAACCACGGCUUCUGCAAGAGCUGUACCAUCUGUGACACUACGAAGGGGAGCAAGGAAGUGAAGAAGUGUGAGAAGACCUCUGACAGAAUUUGCAUGUGUGCUGCAGGCUACAUGCCAGACGUUGGCCAUCCCCUGCGAAGCGGUAAGUUGGGCGUGUGUCAGACUCUCCAAACUCUUGCCUCCGCUUCAGGUGAGACAGUGGUUGUUAUUUCUUGUGUAAAAACUGUUGUUGUUUGU